UUGGUUUAAAUCAUUGUGGAUCUACACUUCGAAAAUAGUGACAAUACAAUGGGGUGGGACAUACAUUGAUUUCAUCCAA
This 79-nucleotide microRNA precursor is filed under the name Medicago truncatula (barrel medic). RNAcentral describes it as "MIR5269 microRNA precursor family". It matches the Rfam family "MIR5269 microRNA precursor family". The record is from Rfam by way of RNAcentral. Lineage: Eukaryota; Viridiplantae; Streptophyta; Magnoliopsida; Fabales; Fabaceae.